This 462-nucleotide ribosomal RNA is filed under the name uncultured bacterium. RNAcentral describes it as "bacterial SSU rRNA". It matches the Rfam family "Bacterial small subunit ribosomal RNA", at positions 30 to 486 of the family's 1533-position model. The record is from RNAcentral.
AUUGAACGCUGGCGGCAUGCCUUACACAUGCAAGUCGAACGGCAGCACGGGAGCAAUCCUGGUGGCGAGUGGCGAACGGGUGAGUAAUAUAUCGGAACGUGCCCAGUCGUGGGGAUAACGUAGCGAAAGCUACGCUAAUACCGCAUACGAUCUAUGGAUGAAAGCGGGGGAUCGCAAGACCUCGCGCGAUUGGAGCGGCCGAUAUCAGAUUAGGUAGUUGGUGAGGUAAAGGCUCACCAAGCCGACGAUCUGUAGCUGGUCUGAGAGGACGACCAGCCACACUGGGACUGAGACACGGCCCAGACUCCUACGGGAGGCAGCAGUGGGGAAUUUUGGACAAUGGGCGCAAGCCUGAUCCAGCAAUGCCGCGUGCAGGAUGAAGGCCCUCGGGUUGUAAACUGCUUUUGUACGGUACGAAACGGUGAGCUCUAAUACAGUUUGCUAAUGACGGUACCGUAAGAA